This 352-nucleotide ribosomal RNA is filed under the name uncultured Pelagophyceae. RNAcentral's name for it is "partial Bacterial small subunit ribosomal RNA". It matches the Rfam family "Bacterial small subunit ribosomal RNA", at positions 1032 to 1383 of the family's 1533-position model. The record is from RNAcentral. Lineage: Eukaryota; Pelagophyceae.
ACACAGGUGGUGCAUGGCUUUCGUCAGCUCGUGUCGUGAGAUGUCGGGUUAAGUCCCUUAACGAGCGAAACCCUUGCCACUAGUUGCCAGCGGGUCAUGCCGGGGACUCUAGUGGGACUGCCGUUGUCAAAACGGAGGAAGGUGGGGAUGACGUCAGGUCAUCAUGGCCCUUACGGCCAGGGCUACACACGUGCUACAAUGGCGCGCACAGAGGGCUGCAAACCCGCGAGGGGGAGCCAAUCUCACAAAACGCGUCGUAGUCCGGAUCGCAGUCUGCAACUCGACUGCGUGAAGUCGGAAUCGCUAGUAAUCGUGAAUCAGAAUGUCACGGUGAAUACGUUCCCGGGCCUUG